CGACCGUACCGCAAACCGACACUGGUGCGCGAGAUGAGUAUUCUAAGGCGCUUGAGAGAACUCUGGAGAAGGAACUCGGCAAAUUGACACCGUAACUUCGGAAGAAGGUGUGCCUUUAGUAGGUGAAGUUGUACAAACGGAGCCCAAUGAGGCCGCAGAGAAUCGGUGGCUGCGACUGUUUAUUAAAAACACAGCACUCUGCAAAGACGAAAGUCGACGUAUAGGGUGUGACGCCUGCCCGGUGCUGGGAAGAUUAAAUGAUGGGGUGCAAGCUCUUGAUUGAAGUCCCAGUAAACGGCGGCCGUAACUAUAAACGGUCCUAAGGUAGCGAAAUUCCUUGUCGGGUAAGUUCCGACCUGCACGAAUGGCGUAACGAUGGCCACACUGUCUCCUCCAGAGACUCAGCGAAGUUGAAAUGUUUGUGAUGAUGCAAUCUCCCCGCGGAAAGACGGAAAGACCCCAUGAACCUUACUGUAGCUUUACAUUGGACUUUGAACAGAUCUGUGUAGGAUA
RNAcentral lists this ribosomal RNA (513 nucleotides) under uncultured bacterium. Its description in RNAcentral is "bacterial LSU rRNA". It matches the Rfam family "Bacterial large subunit ribosomal RNA", at positions 1639 to 2145 of the family's 2925-position model. The record is from RNAcentral.